CCUACGGGUGGCAGCAGUGAGGAAUAUUGGUCAAUGGACGAGAGUCUGAACCAGCCAAGUAGCGUGAAGGAUGACUGCCCUAUGGGUUGUAAACUUCUUUUAUAAAGGAAUAAAACGAGGCACGUGUGCCUUUUUGCAUGUACUUUAUGAAUAAGGAUCGGCUAACUCCGUGCCAGCAGCCGCGGUAAUACGGGGGAUGCGAGCGUGAUCCGGAUUUAAUGGGUUUAAAGGUAGCGUAGAUGGGUUGUUAAGUCAGUUGUGAAAGUUUGCGGAUCAACCGUAAAAUUCCAAUUGAUACUGGCAGUCUUGAGUACAGUUGAGGUAGGCGGAAUGCGUGGUGUAGCGGUGAAAUGCUUAGAUAUCACGAAGAACCCCGAUUGCGAAGGCAGCUUACCAAACUAUAUCGGACGUUGAGGCACGAAAGCGUGGGUAGCAAACAGGAUUAGAUACCCCUGUAGUC
This 460-nucleotide ribosomal RNA is filed under the name uncultured bacterium. RNAcentral describes it as "partial 16S ribosomal RNA". It matches the Rfam family "Bacterial small subunit ribosomal RNA", at positions 338 to 795 of the family's 1533-position model. The record is from RNAcentral.